Molecule: ribosomal RNA, 525 nt
Filed under: uncultured bacterium
Lineage: Bacteria
Description: bacterial SSU rRNA
Rfam family: Bacterial small subunit ribosomal RNA
Source: RNAcentral
UAGUCCACGCCGUAAACGAUGGUUACUAGCUGUUUGGACUAAUUGAGGUCUAAGUGGCGCAGCUAACGCGAUAAGUUGACCGCCUGGGGAGUACGCCGGCAACGGUAAAACUCAAGGAAUUGACGGGGGCCCGCACAAGCGGUGGAGCAUGUGGUUUAAUUCGAUGCAACGCGAAAAACCUUACCUACCCUUGACAUCAUUGGAACUUGUUAGAGAUAACUUGGUGCCUUCGGGAACCAAUAGACAGGUGCUGCAUGGCUGUCGUCAGCUCGUGUCGUGAGAUGUUGGGUUAAGUCCCGCAACGAGCGCAACCCUUGUCCCUAGUUGCCAGCACGUAAUGGUGGGAACUCUAGGGAGACUGCCGGUGUAAACCGUGAGGAAGGUGGGGAUGACGUCAAAUCAUCACGGCCCUUACGUCCUGGGCCACACACGUGCUACAAUGGCGGGGACAAAGGGUUGCGACAUGGCGACAUGAAGCCAAUCCCAAAAACCUCGCCUCAGUUCGGAUUGGAGUCUGCAACUCGA